Molecule: ribosomal RNA, 495 nt
Filed under: uncultured bacterium
Lineage: Bacteria
Description: partial 16S ribosomal RNA
Rfam family: Bacterial small subunit ribosomal RNA
Source: RNAcentral
GAUGAACGCUGGCGGCGUGCCUAAUACAUGCAAGUAGAACGCUGAAGGAGGAGCUUGCUCUUCUGGAUGAGUUGCGAAAGGGUGAGUAACGCGUAGGUAACCUGCCUGGUAGCGGGGGAUAACUAUUGGAAACGAUAGCUAAUACCGCAUGACAACAGUUAUUGCAUGAUAACUGUUUAAAAGGGGCAACUGCUCCACUACCAGAUGGACCUGCGUUGUAUUAGCUAGUUGGUGAGGUAACGGCUCACCAAGGCGACGAUACAUAGCCGACCUGAGAGGGUGAUCGGCCACACUGGGACUGAGACACGGCCCAGACUCCUACGGGAGGCAGCAGUAGGGAAUCUUCGGCAAUGGACGGAAGUCUGACCGAGCAACGCCGCGUGAGUGAAGAAGGUUUUCGGAUCGUAAAGCUCUGUUGUAAGAGAAGAACGAGUGUGAGAGUGGAAAGUUCACACUGUGACGGUAGCUUACCAGAAAGGGACGGCUAACUACGUG